RNAcentral lists this transfer RNA (70 nucleotides) under Astrosyne radiata. Lineage: Eukaryota; Bacillariophyta; Fragilariophyceae; Cyclophorales; Cyclophoraceae. The record is from RNAcentral.
UUUGAAAGACUUGAUCAUGUCGGCACCUGACGCAAAAGUGUCUAGUGUACUACAUGAAAACUUUGUUUAU